UGGGAUGGGAGGUAAGGCCACACAGUUGGGGGCUUUUUCAUAUGAGAUCCUUUCAUUCUCACAGAGCCCCUAAGAUAGUGCUUUUCUCUACAGAAACACAAAGCAGGCUCAGAGAGGCUGAGAAACCCAACAAAAGUGACACAGCAGUAAGGCUCAGAACUGGGACUCAGACCUAAUCUGGCCAUCCCCACUGCCCCAGGCCCUCUCAGCAGGCACAACACAAGGCCCUGCAGGUGACCAGCUCUGAUUCUGCAGAGUGACAUCACAAGGCCGCUGGGCAGAAAGGUGGAACUGGCACUCCAGGCAGGUCAGAGGAGUGGGGCUGGCCCACCACUCUCUCCAUGCUGAAGUCUCCCAGGGACAGCACGCCUGCUUCACAAGCUUGUGGUUUCCAGGCUCCCACAUUGGCUUUUCUGUACCUUGGAUGCACCGAGCUCUUUCCAGCUUUGGGGUCUUCGCACCUGCUUACAGGACGGCUCCAACCCAACAUCAGGAGCUCUGCUCCAGGCUCACCUCCCAGGAAGGCCUCCUAUGACCACAGCCUCCAUUGCUGCCUUUCUUGUCACCAGCCCUUUCUUGUUCAUUUGUUUACAUGUUUACCAUGCCCUGCUCCCAUGGCCCUGAGCAUAAACCCUGAGAGCGGUGACCUCAUCCCUAAGAACUUGGCACAAGUA
RNAcentral lists this long non-coding RNA (674 nucleotides) under Suricata suricatta (meerkat). Its description in RNAcentral is "lncRNA (ENSSSUG00005004060.1)". The record is from RNAcentral. Lineage: Eukaryota; Metazoa; Chordata; Mammalia; Carnivora; Herpestidae.